This 1258-nucleotide long non-coding RNA is filed under the name Bos taurus (domestic cattle). RNAcentral's name for it is "long non-coding RNA NONBTAT025457". Lineage: Eukaryota; Metazoa; Chordata; Mammalia; Artiodactyla; Bovidae. The record is from RNAcentral.
UAAUAUGACUGAUGUUUGUAAUUGCUUUAUUAUAUUAUCUGAAAUGUCCAAUUGAUAUACUGUUUGCCAGUCAAUAUGUUUUUUGUUUCAACAGCUUAUGAUCCUUCCCAAAGUUUUUAUAUUUUUCUUGGUUGCCCAAUAAAUUAGCCAUUUGAUUCCUCAGGUUCUCCACCAAAAAUUACAAUAAUUGGAAGCAAUGAGGGAAAGAUCAGGUUGCUGAUACAACCACAAGAAGAAAAGGGAAUGCCAUAAUAAAGACACUCCUAGUGAUACACACUAUGAAAUGACUGUGCUUAGACUGACUAUUCUAACACAUAUACAAGCAUUUUAUGUUCCUCUUUUCUUCUUUAAGGUUUGCUUUCUCUGCUUAGAUUAGCUUCUUGGCUUCUCUCAGAGUAACCACCUCUUCUUCCCUGGAGGCAGCUUUUGUCCAUGAACCUGGUCCUUUUUGAAAAAGUUCAAAUGUCUAGAAGCAACAGGCAAUCUCAGGGAUUCCUUGUCCCAAGAUACAGAACUACCAGUCCCCUUCAGCAGUAACAGACAUCUCCUCUUUACUGUUGGAGGAGAGUAUAAAGUUCUGUACUCUGUAUAACAAGGCACAUGUUUUUAUAGAUUAAAUUCGUCAUGUUCCAUUGUACUAAUGGAAGUUGGCAAAAAGUAAACCAGGAGACUGGCUUUGAAAAUGACUUAUUAAUAGGUGAUUCAGUGCCUGAAAGAAAACAUUUAGGGAGCUAUGGUCUGAUGGGUAAGUUUCCAUUGUUUUGUAUAUUCUUGCAUCUAAUUUUUAAUAUAGGAGCUGUCGUUUUACAUCUUUUUCUUUAAUGCCCAAGCUUUUUUGAACAGGUAAGUUUCCAGCCUUUCUUCUCCUUCACAUGAGAUAACAUGUAACUCAUAUACCGUAUACUUUAAUAUGUUGCAUAAACAGAAAAAAGGGGGUAAAUGUGUGCAUUGGUAUGCUUUACUUCUUUUAGAAAACCUUAAAUUUGUGAAACUGAACCCCUGAAAGUUUAUUAAUAGGGCUGUUAUUUAGUCCAAACUUCAGAACAGUAAGUUGACUUCUGUAACAAUAUCUGAUAAUGUGCAUUAAAUUUCAAAUAACUAGUAUCACAUUUUUAUAACCCACAGCUAUUCUGAAAACAGAUUGCGUCUUCAAUCUCUUUUAACUGGUAAACUUAAGAUGUGAAUAUAUGCAUCAUUAGAGUCAGAAUAGAAAAGAAUAGGAUAAGGGAAGCAAAAGAAGAUACAAUGAUAUGAAUAU